GACGUAGGGCGCGAGCGUUGUCCGGAUUUAUUGGGCGUAAAGAGCUCGUAGGCGGUUUGUCGCGUCGAAUGUGAAAACCCGGGGCUCAACCCCGGGCCUGCAUUCGAUACGGGCAGACUAGAGUUCGGUAGGGGAGUCUGGAAUUCCUGGUGUAGCGGUGAAAUGCGCAGAUAUCAGGAGGAACACCGGUGGCGAAGGCGGGUCUCUGGGCCGAUACUGACGCUGAGGAGCGAAAGCAUGGGUAGCGAACAGG
This 253-nucleotide ribosomal RNA is filed under the name uncultured bacterium. RNAcentral describes it as "partial 16S ribosomal RNA". It matches the Rfam family "Bacterial small subunit ribosomal RNA", at positions 524 to 776 of the family's 1533-position model. The record is from RNAcentral.